Molecule: small nucleolar RNA, 103 nt
Organism: Lemur catta (Ring-tailed lemur)
Lineage: Eukaryota; Metazoa; Chordata; Mammalia; Primates; Lemuridae
Product: small nucleolar RNA U13
Exons: 1
Source: RefSeq, a predicted model, not a curated record
AUUCUUUUGUAGUUCAUAAGUGUGAUGAUUGCAUUUUCACCUGCAUGCAUGAGAUAUGCCUCCUUUAAACCUUGUUACAUGUCAGCAAGUUACCUGUCUGAUG